UUUAAUGGCCGCAGUAAUUUAACUGUGCGAAGGUAGCAUAAUCAAUAGUUUUUUAAUUGAAAGCUUGUAUGAAGGGUUGGACGAGAUAAUAUCUGUCUUUAUUAUAAUUAUAUUAGAAUUUAAUUUUUAAGUUAAAAAGCUUAAAUUUUUUUAAAAGACGAGAAGACCCUAUAGAGUUUUAUAAAUUUUAUUUUAUAAUUAUUUUAGAUUAAUUAAUUUUAUAAAUUUAAAUUUAUUUUAUUGGGGUAAUGGAAAGAUUUAUUUAAUUCUUUUUUUUUGUAUUAUUUAUUUAUAUAUUAAUGAUCCUUUAUUAAGGAGUACAAGAUUAAAUUACCUUAGGGAUAACAGCGUAAUUUUUUUUGAAAGUUCAUAUUGAUAAAAAAGAUUGCGACCUCGAUGUUGGAUUAAAGAUUAAUUUAGGUGCAAAAGUUUAAAUUUUUGGUCUGUUCGACCAUUAAAUCUUUACAUGAUCUGAGUUCAGACCGGUGUGAGCCAGGUCGGUUUCUAUCUUUAUUUAUUUUUUAUAUUUUAGUACGAAAGGACCAAAUAUUUAUUAUAUUAAUUUUUAUUUUGAAUAUUAUU
This 582-nucleotide ribosomal RNA is filed under the name Microcharidius sp. 42 aff. bazi CA-2017. RNAcentral describes it as "partial large subunit ribosomal RNA". The stretch from base 341 to 499 matches the Rfam family "Bacterial large subunit ribosomal RNA", at positions 2473 to 2632 of the family's 2925-position model. The record is from RNAcentral. Lineage: Eukaryota; Metazoa; Arthropoda; Insecta; Coleoptera; Carabidae.